CCUACGGGCGGCUGCAGUGGGGAAUAUUGGACAAUGGGGGGAACCCUGAUCCAGCCAUGCCGCGUGUGUGAAGAAGGCCCUCGGGUUGUAAAGCACUUUCAGUGAGGAAGAACGCCUGGUGGUUAAUACCCAUCAGGAAAGACAUCACUCACAGAAGAAGCACCGGCUAACUCCGUGCCAGCAGCCGCGGUAAUACGGAGGGUGCGAGCGUUAAUCGGAAUUACUGGGCGUAAAGCGCGCGUAGGUGGCUUGAUAAGCCGGUUGUGAAAGCCCCGGGCUCAACCUGGGAACGGCAUCCGGAACUGUCAAGCUAGAGGGAAGGAGAGGAAGGUAGAAUUCCCGGUGUAGCGGUGAAAUGCGUAGAGAUCGGGAGGAAUACCAGUGGCGAAGGCGGCCUUCUGGACUGACACUGACACUGAGGUGCGAAAGCGUGGGUAGCAAACAGGAUUAGAUACCCGAGUAGUC
This 465-nucleotide ribosomal RNA is filed under the name Vreelandella stevensii. RNAcentral describes it as "partial 16S ribosomal RNA". It matches the Rfam family "Bacterial small subunit ribosomal RNA", at positions 338 to 795 of the family's 1533-position model. Lineage: Bacteria; Pseudomonadati; Pseudomonadota; Gammaproteobacteria; Oceanospirillales; Halomonadaceae. The record is from RNAcentral.